Molecule: ribosomal RNA, 1750 nt
Filed under: human gut metagenome
Description: bacterial LSU rRNA
Rfam family: Bacterial large subunit ribosomal RNA
Source: RNAcentral
GAUGUUGGCUUAGAAGCAGCCACUCAUUAAAAGAGUGCGUAAUAGCUCACUGGUCGAGUGACCCUGCGCCGAAAAUUUAACGGGGCUAAACCAUGUACCGAAGCUUGGGAUUGCAUACUUGUAUGCAAUGGUAGGAGAGCGUUCCAUAUGGGGCGAAGUCAGAGCGGAAGCGCUGGUGGACUGUAUGGAAGUGAGAAUGCCGGAAUGAGUAGCGAGAAUUAUGUGAGAAUCAUAAUGGCCGAAAGUCUAAGGUUUUUGAAGGAAGGUUCGUCCGCUUCAAGAUAGCCGGGAGCUAAGGCGAGGCCGAAAGGCGUAGUCGAUGCACAUACGGUUGAUAUUCCGUAGCCGUCCGAAGAUUUAAGCAAGGGGACACUUUGAAAGCGCAUGACCCGGGCGAUGGUAGCCCCGGGCGAAAGGGACUGAAAUUCAAGUAGGGAAGCAUGCGUGGACGAAGGCGAGAAAAGCCUUGUGUAUAUCGAGGAUGCCCGUACCGCAAACCGACACAGGUAGACAGGAAGAGGAUUCUAAGGCCAACGGGAGAAGGGUAGUUAAGGAACUCGGCAAAUUGACCCCGUAACUUCGGGAAAAGGGGUGCUCUGGAAACAGAGCCGCAGUGAAUAGGCCCAGGCAACUGUUUAGCAAAAACACAGGUCUCUGCAAAAUCGAAAGAUGAAGUAUAGGGGCUGACACCUGCCCAGUGCUGGAAGGUUAAGAGGAGGGGUGCAAGCUCCGAAUCGAAGCCCCAGUGAACGGCGGCCGUAACUAUAACGGUCCUAAGGUAGCGAAAUUCCUUGUCGGGUAAGUUCCGACCCGCACGAAUGGUGUAAUGAUCUGGGCACUGUCUCAACUACCCGCCCGGCGAAAUUGUAGUACCGGUGAAGAUGCCGGUUACCCGCGACAAGACGGAAAGACCCCAUGGAGCUUCACUGCAGCUUAAUAUUGGGUUUCGAUAUUUUAUGUACAGGAUAGGCGGGAGACUAGGAAGCAGAGGCGCCAGCCUUUGUGGAGUCAACCUUGGGAUACCGCUCUUAAAGUAUUGGAAUUCUAACCUGCGGCCAUGAAUCUGGCCGGGGGACAUUGUUAGGCGGGCAGUUUGACUGGGGCGGUCGCCUCCAAAAGAGUAACGGAGGCGCUCAAAGGUUCGCUCAGCACGGACGGAAACCGUGCCUUAGAGUGUAAACGCAUAAGCGAGCCUAACUGCGAGACCGACGGGUCGAGCAGUAACGAAAGUUGGAGUUAGUGAUCCGGCGGUAUGAGAGUGGAAUUGCCGUCGCUCAACGGAUAAAAGCUACCCUGGGGAUAACAGGCUGAUCUCCCCCAAGAGUCCACAUCGACGGGGAGGUUUGGCACCUCGAUGUCGGCUCAUCACAUCCUGGGGCUGUAGUAGGUCCCAAGGGUUCGGCUGUUCGCCGAUUAAAGUGGUACGCGAGCUGGGUUCAGAACGUCGUGAGACAGUUCGGUCCCUAUCUGUCGCGGGCGCAGGAUAUUUGAAGGGCUCUGUCCUUAGUACGAGAGGACCGGGAUGGACGUACCUCUGGUGCACCAGUUGUCACGCCAGUGGCACAGCUGGGCAGCUAAGUACGGUGCGGAUAAACGCUGAAAGCAUCUAAGCGUGAAGCCGACCCUAAGAUAAGAUAUCCCACUGAGUAAUCAGGUAAGGUCCCAGGAAGACUACCUGGUAGAUAGGCUGCAUGUGUAAGAGCAGUGAUGUUUUUAGCUUGGCAGUACUAAUAGACCGAGGGCUUGACCU